CCUACGGGGAGCAGCAGUGAGGAAUAUUGGUCAAUGGGCGCGAGCCUGAACCAGCCAAGUCGCGUGAGGGAAGACGGUCCUAUGGAUUGUAAACCUCUUUUGUCGGGGAGCAAAAGACGCCACGCGUGGCGUUCCGAGAGUACCCGACGAAAAAGCAUCGGCUAACUCCGUGCCAGCAGCCGCGGUAAUACGGAGGAUGCGAGCGUUAUCCGGAUUUAUUGGGUUUAAAGGGUGCGCAGGCGGAAGAGCAAGUCAGCGGUAAAAUUGAGAGGCUCAACCUCUUCGAGCCGUUGAAACUGGUGUUCUUGAGUGAGCGAGAAGUAUGCGGAAUGCGUGGUGUAGCGGUGAAAUGCAUAGAUAUCACGCAGAACUCCGAUUGCGAAGGCAGCAUACCGGCGCUCAACUGACGCUCAUGCACGAAAGUGUGGGUAUCGAACAGGAUUAGAUACCCGUGUAGUC
Molecule: ribosomal RNA, 459 nt
Filed under: uncultured bacterium
Lineage: Bacteria
Description: partial 16S ribosomal RNA
Rfam family: Bacterial small subunit ribosomal RNA
Source: RNAcentral